Molecule: ribosomal RNA, 461 nt
Filed under: Funneliformis coronatus
Lineage: Eukaryota; Fungi; Glomeromycota; Glomeromycetes; Glomerales; Glomeraceae
Description: LSU rRNA
Rfam family: Eukaryotic large subunit ribosomal RNA
Source: RNAcentral
GGAAAGAUGAAAAGAACUUUGAAAAGAGAGUUAAACAGUACGUGAAAUUGUUGAAAGGGAAACGAUUGAAGUCAGUCAUAUCAAUAGGAAAUCAACCUUUUGAGCUUUGUCUCGUGAGUUCAAAGAGUUUUAAAUGCCUUUGGGUUCACGAGAUUGGAAUCUUCUGGUGUACUUUCUCGUACAGUUAGUGAACAUCAGUUUUGAAUGUCAUAAAAUGACUGGAGGAAUGUAACUUCAAACUCAUAUCGAAAUGUUAUAGCCUUUGGUAGAUGUGAUGUUUGAGACUGAGGAUUGCAACGAAUACCCUUCAUGGGCUAUUCGUCUGAUCUCUGAUAUGUUGCCUUGACAUUAAAAGCUUGCUUACAAUAUUAGAGUAUUACGAUCAAAAGGUUAGAAUAGAUUAAAUUCGUUAAGGAUGUUAACGUAAUAACUUUAAACGACCCGUCUUGAAACACGGACCA